UGGGGAAUAUUGCACAAUGGGCGCAAGCCUGAUGCAGCAACGCCGCGUGAGGGACGACGGCCUUCGGGUUGUAAACCUCUUUUAGUAGGGAAGAAGCGAAAGUGACGGUACCUGCAGAAAAAGCACCGGCUAACUACGUGCCAGCAGCCGCGGUAAUACGUAGGGUGCGAGCGUUGUCCGGAAUUAUUGGGCGUAAAGAGCUCGUAGGCGGUCUGUCGCGUCUGCUGUGAAAACCCGAGGCUCAACCUCGGGCCUGCAGUGGGUACGGGCAGACUAGAGUGCGGUAGGGGAGAAUGGAAUUCCUGGUGUAGCGGUGGAAUGCGCAGAUAUCAGGAGGAACACCGAUGGCGAAGGCAGUUCUCUGGGCCGUAACUGACGCUGAGGAGCGAAAGCGUGGGGAGCGAACAGGAUUAGAUACCCUGGUAGUCCACGCCGUAAACGUUGGGCGCUAGAUGUGGGGACCAUUCCACGGUUUCCGUGUCGCAGCUAACGCAUUAAGCGCCCCGCCUGGGGGUACGGCCGCAAGGCUAAAACUCAAAGGAAUU
RNAcentral lists this ribosomal RNA (545 nucleotides) under uncultured bacterium. Its description in RNAcentral is "partial 16S ribosomal RNA". It matches the Rfam family "Bacterial small subunit ribosomal RNA", at positions 355 to 911 of the family's 1533-position model. The record is from RNAcentral.